Molecule: ribosomal RNA, 253 nt
Filed under: uncultured bacterium
Lineage: Bacteria
Description: partial 16S ribosomal RNA
Rfam family: Bacterial small subunit ribosomal RNA
Source: RNAcentral
UACGAAGGGGGCUAGCGUUGCUCGGAAUCACUGGGCGUAAAGGGUGCGUAGGCGGUUAUGUAAGACAGAUGUGAAAUGCCCGGGCUUGACCUGGGAACUGCAUUUGUGACUGCAUGGCUAGAGUGUGUCAGAGGGGGGUAGAAUUCCACGUGUAGCAGUGAAAUGCGUAGAGAUGUGGAGGAAUACCGGUGGCGAAGGCGGCCUCCUGGUUCAAUACUGACGCUGAGGUGCGAAAGCGUGGGGAGCAAACAGG